Molecule: ribosomal RNA, 393 nt
Filed under: uncultured bacterium
Lineage: Bacteria
Description: partial 16S ribosomal RNA
Rfam family: Bacterial small subunit ribosomal RNA
Source: RNAcentral
AUACGGAGGACGCGAGCGUUAUCCGGAUUCAUUGGGUUUAAAGGGUGCGCAGGCGGCCGUGCAAGUCAGUGGUGAAAGCCCGGGGCUCAACCCCGGAAGUGCCGUUGAUACUGCAUGGCUGGAAUGCGGUCGAGGCGGGCGGGACGGGGGGUGGAGCGGUGGAAAGCGUAGAUAUGCCACAGAACGCCGAUAGCGGAGGCAGCUCGCCAGGCCUGCAUUGACGCUCGGGCACGAAAGCGUGGGGAUCGAACAGGAUUAGAUACCCUGGUAGUCCACGCCGUAAACGAUGGGCGCUCGUCGUCGGCGACAGACAGUCGGCGGCCAAGCGAAAGCGAUAAGCGCCCCACCUGGGGAGUACGGUCGCAAGGCUGAGACUCAAAGGAAUUGACGGGG